Molecule: ribosomal RNA, 460 nt
Filed under: uncultured bacterium
Lineage: Bacteria
Description: partial 16S ribosomal RNA
Rfam family: Bacterial small subunit ribosomal RNA
Source: RNAcentral
CCUACGGGAGGCAGCAGUGAGGAAUAUUGGUCAAUGGCCGGAAGGCUGAACCAGCCAUGCCGCGUGAAGGUCAGUGCCCUAUGGGCGUUAAACUUCUUUUGUGCGGGAGCAAUAGUGGUCACGUGUGGCCAGACGAGAGUACCGUACGAAUAAGCAUCGGCUAACUCCGUGCCAGCAGCCGCGGUAAUGCGGGGGAGGCAAGCGGUAUCCGGAUUUAUUUGGUUUAAAGGGUGCGUAGGCUGGGAGGUAAGGCAGCGGUGAAAUGCCCCCGCUCAACGGGGUGAAGUGCCAUUGAUACUGCCUUGCUGGAAUGCGGAUGCCGUGGGAGGAAUGCGUGGUGUAGCGGUGAAAUGCAUAGAUAUCACACAGAACACCGAUUGCGAAGGCAUCUCACGAAUCCGCGAUUGACGCUGAUGCACGAAAGCGUGGGUAUCAAACAGGAUUAGAUACCCCAGUAGUC